This 528-nucleotide unclassified non-coding RNA is filed under the name Hevea brasiliensis (rubber tree). The record is from RNAcentral. Lineage: Eukaryota; Viridiplantae; Streptophyta; Magnoliopsida; Malpighiales; Euphorbiaceae.
AAUACGUCGGCUGAAACUCACCAUUCCAGUGAAAGGUAUCUUUUUUACUUCAUUUUACUAAGUGGAAAAUAAGAACAGAAGGAAUAUGCAUCCAGACCUCUACUAUAGUCACAAAAGAAGAAAAGAAAUAGGUCAUUUUACACCUCAUGCUGCAUCUACAGACUUUCAGCUUCAUACAAAUGGUUACACACCUAAAAGACAUUAAUGUUUUCUGGCUGUCCCAUACAAACACUUGAUUGCCCCCACCAUGCUAUUUGAGGCUAACAGAAGCACAAUUAAAGCCUUUCAUAAGAUAUGCUUACCACAAAAUCAGUAGUUACUCAGUCAUAAUUAAUUAUCUAAAACACCAAACCACAAAUGUAUCCCCUCAACAAUUGAUUCAUGGUUUCCAAUAGAGACCUAAUCACUAGGGCGCAUAAUAUCUACUAUAUUAAUAUAUAACUAUGAUGUCAAUAUUUAAGUAAAAUCUUUUUAUCAAAUGAUCUAGAGUUCAUUUAUAAUGCAACAGCACACUGCAACUGACCUGCA